AAGAAGCUCCAGGAUUAACUCAAAGCUGAGCAGGAAGCUCUCUACGGUUUAAGAAAAAAAUCCAUCCAAGACUCAAAGUAUAAAGAAGUCACCUAGACACUCAAUUGGUGGUGUAAACCAUAGGGUGUCCAUUGGUGGAGCCAUGAUGCAAGCACCCAAAACAGACGUUAUAUUUGAAGAAUGUUCAUGCUGCCAAGAGAAUUGAAGACAUUGCCUGUUUGUCCCCUGGUAAGCCCCUAUCAGGUUUCAUAGUUUUAGCAUGAGUCUCGAGAUUCACAGUGGGUGGAACAUCAGAAAAUUAGGGAACCAGAACAUAAACUCUCUGAAAAAUAUCGUAUAUUCAGACAUAGAAGACUUAAUGUGGUAGAGAUUAUAGUUAUUAAGCAAACAAGUUUUUUCUAAUUUAUAUCCAACCAUAUUUAGUGGGUUUUAACUAUAGUUAAUUUCUAACAACCAGGCUAUUGUUACGCUUUUCUAGAAUUUGUUCUAGGCUUGGGCUUAUAGAUUUGUUGAUGAACUUGACUCUAAUACUUAUACCACUUACCUUGCAGAAAGGCUUUGUUUUAUUGGUGUUUAACCAUCAUCGAUAUAGAGGAUGAAUAAAUGUUCUUGGAAGAUGUUGCUUGAUUUUUGAGCCCAUGUGCUAUGCUAAUAUUUUGGUUGGUGUUUUUUGUGUUCUCCACUGGAAUAACCAUAGCUUGGCUUUCCUGAUGUUAUUGCUCUGAAGUGUCUACCUUGGUUAAAAUCACUUCGUGUUAUCUCAACUUUGUGUUGCCUUCAUGCCAAAUCCUACAGAGCUUUGAUGAUGUUCUGUGCCAAUUUUCUUUUAGAAUUAUACUUUCUUUCAUGUUUGAUAUUUGAUCCUUAAUUAGUAUCUACUGCCCAUGAUUUUGUUGUUACUGGAAGCAUCGCCUUGAAUGUCGUUUAGCUUUGAAAGGGAAAGGUUUCAAUAGGGGAUUUUAUUACUGUUAGAGGGUAGGAUGUUCAACCGUGCAUUCAAUUUUUUUCUCUGACUCUGUAUUGCUUUACUAUUGCGGUGAAUUAUAUUUUUAUCCAGUUUUGCUCCUCUUGAUGAUUGGAAGUUAGCAUUGCUCCUGUUAGAGCAAGAGUAUACCAAAGCAAGAUCCAACCGAGCUAAGGAUAAGAGGUUUCUGGAUUAGGUAUCUGGUGCAGAGCCGAUGGAGAGAAGCAACAUCAUGAUGCUGCUAUAUCUUAGUGGUCUUUCUUUCACUAUGGUGAUCUGCUUCUUAUCUGUUCUAGGUGUCACUGUCAUAGCUUGCUUAGCAUUACUCAGAUAUACGCUAGGCAGUGGUUACCUUCCUUCUUUUGAAGGUUGUAAACACACAUUUAAGUCACACAUACACCAUACAAGGUAUUGAAUAACAUAUCCUCUAAUUUUUACAGGCGUCUUUUUGUUUUCCAGAAUUUUUGGUUAUAGCAUGCUACUUCUAUCUCUUGGAUAUAUAAGCUAAACUCAACUAGAAGUAGUAUUUGCUAAUUAUCUAUUUGCAAUUCAAUUGUUUAGUUAUUUUAGGGCCGUUAGUUCAUUGAUUUAAUGACUUGUACC
Molecule: long non-coding RNA, 1567 nt
Organism: Triticum dicoccoides
Lineage: Eukaryota; Viridiplantae; Streptophyta; Magnoliopsida; Poales; Poaceae
Exons: 3
Source: RefSeq, a predicted model, not a curated record